GGUGUGAAUUAGCGGCGAACGGGUGAGGAACACGUGAAGAAUCUGCCUUCAACUCUGGGAUAACUCCGGGAAACCGGGGCUAAUACCGGAUAUGAGCCUUGAUCGCAUGAUCGGGGCUGGAAAGUUUUUCGGUUGAAGAUGACUUCGCGGCCUAUCAGCUUGUUGGUGAGGUAAUGGCUCACCAAGGCGACGACGGGUAGCCGGCCUGAGAGGGCGACCGGCCACACUGGGACUGAGACACGGCCCAGACUCCUACGGGAGGCAGCAGUGGGGAAUAUUGGGCAAUGGAGGAAACUCUGACCCAGCGACGCCGCGUGAGGGAUGAAGGCCUUCGGGUUGUAAACCUCUUUCAGUAGGGAAGAAGCGAAAGUGACGGUACCUACAGAAGAAGCACCGGCUAACUAUGUGCCAGCAG
RNAcentral lists this ribosomal RNA (415 nucleotides) under uncultured bacterium. Its description in RNAcentral is "bacterial SSU rRNA". It matches the Rfam family "Bacterial small subunit ribosomal RNA", at positions 84 to 514 of the family's 1533-position model. The record is from RNAcentral.